AGAGUUUGAUCAUGGCUCAGGAUGAACGCUAGCUACAGGCUUAACACAUGCAAGUCGAGGGGCAGCAUGUUGGUUGCUUGCAACCAACGAUGGCGACCGGCGCACGGGUGAGUAACGCGUAUCCAACCUACCCUUGUCCAUCGGAUAACCCGUCGAAAGGCGGCCUAACACGAUAUGCGGUUCACAGCAGGCAUCUAACGUGAACGAAAUGUAAAGGAGAAGGAUGGGGAUGCGUCUGAUUAGCUUGUUGGCGGGGUAACGGCCACAAGGCUACGAUCAGUAGGGGUUCUGAGAGGAAGGUCCCCCCANAUUGGAACUGAGACACGGUCCAAACUCCGUACGGGAGGCA
Molecule: ribosomal RNA, 349 nt
Filed under: uncultured bacterium
Lineage: Bacteria
Description: bacterial SSU rRNA
Rfam family: Bacterial small subunit ribosomal RNA
Source: RNAcentral